Molecule: ribosomal RNA, 453 nt
Filed under: uncultured bacterium
Lineage: Bacteria
Description: partial 16S ribosomal RNA
Rfam family: Bacterial small subunit ribosomal RNA
Source: RNAcentral
CUACGGGGCGCUGCAGUGGGGAAUUUUGCGCAAUGGGGGAAACCCUGACGCAGCAACGCCGCGUGAAGGAUGAAGGCCUUUGGGUCGUAAACUUCUGUCAGUGGGGAAGAAAUGCCCGCAAGGGAGCUGACGGUACCCACAAAGGAAGCACCGGCUAACUCCGUGCCAGCAGCCGCGGUAAUACGGAGGGUGCAAGCGUUGUUCGGAAUUAUUGGGCGUAAAGCGCAUGUAGGCGGUCUGUUAAGUCUGGUGUGAAAGCCCGGGGCUCAACCCCGGAAGUGCAUUGGAUACUGGCAGACUUGAGUAUGGGAGAGGAAAGUGGAAUUCCGAGUGUAGGAGUGAAAUCCGUAGAUAUUCGGAGGAACACCAGUGGCGAAGGCGGCUUUCUGGACCAAUACUGACGCUGAGAUGCGAAAGCGUGGGUAGCAAACAGGAUUAGAUACCCUUGUAGUC